Molecule: transfer RNA, 81 nt
Filed under: Salmo salar (Atlantic salmon)
Lineage: Eukaryota; Metazoa; Chordata; Actinopteri; Salmoniformes; Salmonidae
Rfam family: tRNA
About the family: Transfer RNA (tRNA) molecules are approximately 80 nucleotides in length. Their secondary structure includes four short double-helical elements and three loops (D, anti-codon, and T loops). Further hydrogen bonds mediate the characteristic L-shaped molecular structure. tRNAs have two regions of fundamental functional importance: the anti-codon, which is responsible for specific mRNA codon recognition, and the 3' end, to which the tRNAs corresponding amino acid is attached (by aminoacyl-tRNA synthetases). tRNAs cope with the degeneracy of the genetic code in two manners: having more than one tRNA (with a specific anti-codon) for a particular amino acid; and 'wobble' base-pairing, i.e. permitting non-standard base-pairing at the 3rd anti-codon position.
Source: Rfam by way of RNAcentral
GAUGAGGUGGCCGAGUGUUAAGGCGAUGGACUGCUAAUCCAUUGUGCCCUGCAUUCAUGUGUUUGAAUCCCAUCCUCAUCG